Molecule: non-coding RNA, 23 nt
Filed under: Arabidopsis thaliana (thale cress)
Lineage: Eukaryota; Viridiplantae; Streptophyta; Magnoliopsida; Brassicales; Brassicaceae
Source: RNAcentral
GCGGGCUUGAGGAUAUAAGCCUA